CAUCAUGAAGCUUAAAGCGUUAACCUUUUAAGUUAAAGUCAGAGACUUCCACGUCUCCAUGAUGA
This 65-nucleotide transfer RNA is filed under the name Grammomys selousi. RNAcentral's name for it is "tRNA-Lys". Lineage: Eukaryota; Metazoa; Chordata; Mammalia; Rodentia; Muridae. The record is from RNAcentral.